GAUGAAGAACGUAGCUAAAUGCGAUAAGUAGUGUGAAUUGCAGAAUUCAGUGAAUCAUCGAGUCUUUGAACGCACAUUGCGCCCUCUGGUAUUCCGGAGGGCAUGCCUGUCCGAGCGUCAUUGCUGCCCUCAAGCACGGCUUGUGUGUUGGGCCCCGCCCCCCGAUCCCGGGGGGCGGGCCCGAAAGGCAGCGGCGGCACCGCGUCCGGUCCUCGAGCGUAUGGGGCUUUGUCACCCGCUCUGUAGGCCCGGCCGGCGCCUGCCGAUCAACCAAACUUUUUUCCAGGUUGACCUCGGAUCAGGUAGGGAUACCAGCUGAACUUAAGCAUAUCAAUAAGCGGAGGA
Molecule: unclassified non-coding RNA, 345 nt
Filed under: soil metagenome
Description: partial contains 5.8S ribosomal RNA, internal transcribed spacer 2, and large subunit ribosomal RNA
Rfam family: 5.8S ribosomal RNA (bases 1-120)
Source: RNAcentral